CAGGCCUAACACAUGCAAGUCGAGCGGGGAUGAUGUAACUCGCUACAUUACCUAUCGGACGUGACGGGUGAGUAAUGCUUAGGAAUCUGCCUAUGAGUGGGGGACAACAUACCGACAGGAAUGCUAAUGACCGUAUACGCCUCUCACGGGGGAAAGCAGGGGAUCUGUGGACCUUGCUCUAAUAGAUGAGCCUGAGUCACAUUAUCUAGUUGGUGGGGUAAGAGGCCUACCAAGGCGACGAUCUGUAGCGGGUCUGAGAGGAUGAUCCGCCCCACUGGGACUGAGACACGGACCAGACUCCUACGGGAGGCAGCACUGGGGAAUAUAGGACAGUGGGCGAGAGCCUGAUCCAGCCAUGCCGUGUGUGUGAAGACAGCCUUGAGGUUGUAAAGCACUUCAGGCUACGAGGAGGCU
RNAcentral lists this ribosomal RNA (414 nucleotides) under uncultured bacterium. RNAcentral describes it as "bacterial SSU rRNA". It matches the Rfam family "Bacterial small subunit ribosomal RNA", at positions 43 to 452 of the family's 1533-position model. The record is from RNAcentral.